AGUGAACGCUGGCGGCGUGCUUAACACAUGCAAGUCGAACGGUAGCACAGAGAGCUUGCUCUCGGGUGACGAGCGGCGGACGGGUGAGUAAUGUCUGGGAAACUGCCUGAUGGAGGGGGAUAACUACUGGAAACGGUAGCUAAUACCGCAUAACGUCGCAAGACCAAAGAGGGGGACCUUCGGGCCUCUUGCCAACAGAUGUGCCCAGAUGGGAUUAGCUAGUAGGUGGGGUAACGGCUCACCUAGGCGACGAUCCCUAGCUGGUCUGAGAGGAUGACCAGCCACACUGGAACUGAGACACGGUCCAGACUCCUACGGGAGGCAGCAGUGGGGAAUAUUGCACAAUGGGCGCAAGCCUGAUGCAGCCAUGCCGCGUGUAUGAAGAAGGCCUUCGGGUUGUAAAGUACUUUCAGCGGGGAGGAAGGUGUUGAGGUUAAUAACCUCAGCAAUUGACGUUACCCGCAGAAGAAGCACCGGCUAACUCCGUGCCAGCCGCCGCCGUAA
RNAcentral lists this ribosomal RNA (504 nucleotides) under uncultured bacterium. RNAcentral describes it as "partial 16S ribosomal RNA". It matches the Rfam family "Bacterial small subunit ribosomal RNA", at positions 29 to 523 of the family's 1533-position model. The record is from RNAcentral.